UUUACUCAAAAAAAGUUUGUUGACAUUUUUCGUAGAACACUAUUUUUUUGGGUUCCCUCCUGUCGUGCUUCCAAACUCUUCUGUUUCACCCAAACCCUUCUUCUUCUUUGUUCUUCUCUUUCAUCUGCUUCGUUCUUCUUCUUUGUUCUUCUCUUUCAUCUGCUUUGUUCUUCUCUUUCAUCUGCUUUCUAUUUCACCUGCCUUGUUCUUCUUAAUCCUCUUCUUUAUCGUUUCCUGAGCAAGGCGAAUCUGAAUUGGCAAUUGGGUCUUUGAAUUGGAGAUUUGUAAAUAAGGAGAAAUUGGCCAAUUGUGUUUCUGAAUUGGCGAGAAGAACAAGGUUAGUUGACCUUCUGGUAAGCUGGUGCAGAUCGAGCACGCUUUGACUGAUGUUGGUUCAGGGCAAACUUCUCUUGGAAUCAAAGGCAAGGACGAGAGAACAACCACCUAGGAAGAAUAAGAAGGAAUCAUUGUGCCCAUCUAUGGCAAUGGAUUUCUUUUUCACUAAACAACAAAUGGAUCCCACUCAAGUACAACAGUUACAGCAAGAAGUGCAAUGAUUGGAACAAGAUCGACAAAGAGCUAGACGCCCACUUUUUGCCAGUGUUCCAAUGGAAAAUCAAGGAGAAAGUGAUAUCUCACAACAAGGUUUCUGUUUUCACACUCCACCCCUUCUCAAUUCUAAGAGUGAAAUUUAUUCUGAGUGAAAAUAAAACUCUAAUUUGAUCAUCUUCCCCUUUCCUCCUACAUAAUCACUUAACAUCCCUUGAACGUAAUCUCCGCAUUUGGCAUCAGUAGUCGGAUUCUUGUAGAUACCCAUAUUUUAAGUUUCUUAAAGAACUUCUAAGCACCUGUAGACCCCAAAAAGCACAAACUUUAAUUUGUUCACAUUCAAUAUCAUGUCAUUUUCCCAUUAUUCUUAAGGUUUAGCGUUAGUCAUUUAUUUUUCAGGUUUUUUUUCCUUAUGUAUUUGGAUUUUAUUCAUUGAUAAUAAGUUUCUUAUGGAAAUGUCACUUGAUUUGUUUGUUGUG
Long non-coding RNA from Spinacia oleracea (spinach), 1028 nucleotides. RefSeq lists it as uncharacterized. The record is from RefSeq and is a predicted model, not a curated record. NCBI's taxonomy places the organism in Eukaryota, Viridiplantae, Streptophyta, Magnoliopsida, Caryophyllales, Amaranthaceae. The transcript has 3 exons.